RNAcentral lists this transfer RNA (74 nucleotides) under Microcaldota archaeon. RNAcentral describes it as "Candidatus Micrarchaeota archaeon tRNA-Lys". It matches the Rfam family "tRNA". From Rfam's summary of the family: Transfer RNA (tRNA) molecules are approximately 80 nucleotides in length. Their secondary structure includes four short double-helical elements and three loops (D, anti-codon, and T loops). The record is from RNAcentral. Lineage: Archaea; Nanobdellati; Microcaldota. RNAcentral also lists the same sequence under 1 other name.
GGGCCCGUAGCUCAGCCUGGUAGAGCACUCGGCUCUUAACCGAGUUGUCGCGGGUUCAAAUCCCGUCGGGCCCG